GCGCCCGUAGCUCAAUUGGAUAGAGCAUCUGACUACGGAUCAGAAGGUUAUGGGUUCGAAUCCUAUCGGGCGUACCA
Molecule: transfer RNA, 77 nt
Filed under: Candidatus Cloacimonadota bacterium
Lineage: Bacteria; Pseudomonadati; Candidatus Cloacimonadota
Also listed under: 1 other name
Description: tRNA-Arg
Rfam family: tRNA
About the family: Transfer RNA (tRNA) molecules are approximately 80 nucleotides in length.
Source: RNAcentral